RNAcentral lists this ribosomal RNA (609 nucleotides) under Haloarcula sp. I.C5. Its description in RNAcentral is "bacterial SSU rRNA". It matches the Rfam family "Archaeal small subunit ribosomal RNA", at positions 45 to 655 of the family's 1478-position model. Lineage: Archaea; Methanobacteriati; Methanobacteriota; Halobacteria; Halobacteriales; Haloarculaceae. The record is from RNAcentral.
UUAGCCAUGCUAGUCGCACGAGUUUAGACUCGUGGCAUAUAGCUUAGUAACACGUGGCCAAACUACCCUACAGACCGCAAUAACCUCGGGAAACUGAGGCCAAUAGCGGAUAUAACUCUCAGGCUGGAGUGCCGAGAGUUAGAAACGUUCCGGCGCUGUAGGAUGUGGCUGCGGCCGAUUAGGUAGAUGGUGGGGUAACGGCCCACCAUGCCGAUAAUCGGUACAGGUUGUGAGAGCAAGAGCCUGGAGACGGUAUCUGAGACAAGAUACCGGGCCCUACGGGGCGCAGCAGGCGCGAAACCUUUACACUGCACGACAGUGCGAUAGGGGGACUCCGAGUGUGAGGGCAUAUAGCCCUCGCUUUUCUGUACCGUAAGGUGGUACAAGAACAAGGACUGGGCAAGACCGGUGCCAGCCGCCGCGGUAAUACCGGCAGUCCAAGUGAUGGCCGAUAUUAUUGGGCCUAAAGCGUCCGUAGCUUGCUGUGUAAGUCCAUUGGGAAAUCGACCAGCUCAACUGGUCGACGUCCGGUGGAAACUACAUAGCUUGGGGCCGGGAGACUCGACGGGUACGUCCGGGGUAGGAGUGAAAUCCUAUAAUCCUGGACGG